UAUGACCGAGGGUGCACGAACAACUUUCUUGAAGUAUUCUGCUCGAGGAUAGAACCUUCGAAAAACAAUUUCCGUGGAUAUGUACAUGAAGCAUUAAAGUCUAGCAAGGCAGGAAACAUUCAAGUAACAGAAGUUGAUAACUCCGAUGAGGAUAGAAGAGUCAAGUAUUUUCACAACGAGAAUCUGUGAGAGAAUUCUUCUAAUGUGAUCAACGAAAGGAGUAUAUAUUCAGUAGCAAGUGAACGAGCCAAUUGACUAGCAAAACAAGCCAAACGCCGGAGAUGGCGACGACGCCAAUGAUGCCGCCGAUGGGGAACCCAAACUUUGAUGGAGGUGCACCGCCGCAGCCGGGGACUGACAUGACAGGAAUAUGCUUCAGGGACCAGUUAUGGCUGAAUACAUAUCCGCUGGAUCGUAACCUAGUAUUUGACUACUUUGCUCUUUCUCCUUUCUAUGACUGGACUUGCAACAAUGAGCAACUCCGAUCACGCGCCAUUCACCCGCUCGAUAUUUCUCAUUUAUCGAAAAUGACGGGCAGCGAAUACACGCUGAGUGAAGUUAUGGAGCCACAUCUCUUUGUCAUUCGUAAGCAAAAGAGGGAUAGUCCCGAGAAGGUAACACCGAUGUUGACUUAUUAUAUAUUGGAUGGCUCAAUUUACCAAGCUCCGCAGCUCUGCAAUGUGUUUGCAGGUCGACUGGUUGGCAGGUGCUUAAAACAGAGAAGCGCUCGCUUCGGUCGCCUCACUUCGUCGCUUCUCGCUUUUUAGUGGGAAGCGCACGCUUUUGUCUACCUGAGUCGCUUCAUAUAGCAGAAGCGGUAAUGGGGUCGCCUCGCUUUGCUUCUCGCUUUAAGCGAGGAAGCGACUGCUUUUCACAACCCUGUCGAUUGCUUGAUAAAUUCUGGGCUUUGAGCUGGUUUUUGAUUGGAGAAUUGAAGCUGUUUCUCUGCUUUAUUCUGCUUGGAUUUGCUGAGCUCCACUCUUUAUUUCUUCCUUUAUUUGGCUAUUCCGGCUUGUUUCAAGUUUAGGGACGUGCUUUAUAUCAUAUAUCCAAAGCUUUCAGUUCUGCAGCUUCAAAGUUGGAAAAGACCGGAUAUGUGGCUGCUGAAAAUGAGAGUGAAGCAUCUGAACCUAAGCCUGCUAAGGAGACCAUUGACUUCAAGGAACUUAAGCGAGUUGAUCAUAUCCUUGCUUCCCUACAACGAAAGCUACCACCAGUACCUCCACCCCCACCAUUUCCGGAAGGCUAUGCACCACCUUCCACAGCAGAAGCAUCUGAAAACCAGCAAGCAGAGACUCAGUUGCCUCCAGUUGAUCCCAUCAUCGACCAAGGUCCGUCUAAGCGAAUGAAAGUAUGAAAUGAUACUGUCUAAGCAAUUGGUGGCUGCAAGAAUUUGUACGAUGCUCCAGAUGGUUCUGAGUGAUCCUUAACUGAAUAUUUCCUGCAGUUAGUGGCUAUGAGACUUCUACGACACUUGAAAUGGUCCAGAGUCAUCCUUAACUUGAUAGUAGAUUUUUCUGUAUAAAAAGUAGAGUGUUAAAUCUUUGUCUUAGGUCAGAACUUUUCAUGUAGAUCCUGUCAAGGAUAUAGUUCACCUGUAGGCUCUUUGGCCUUGUAAUGCUGUUACAUUAGUUUGCAAUCGUGUAAGUUUACCCGAGCUUUCAUAUCUUGGAACACACUUAUUGGCUCAAAUAUUUUAACAAAUGCUUUCUUCAUUUGGAAAUUGGAAUGUUUUUCAGGGUUGAA
Molecule: non-coding RNA, 1746 nt
Organism: Nicotiana tabacum (common tobacco)
Lineage: Eukaryota; Viridiplantae; Streptophyta; Magnoliopsida; Solanales; Solanaceae
Source: RefSeq, a predicted model, not a curated record